RNAcentral lists this ribosomal RNA (497 nucleotides) under uncultured bacterium. RNAcentral's name for it is "partial 16S ribosomal RNA". It matches the Rfam family "Bacterial small subunit ribosomal RNA", at positions 28 to 507 of the family's 1533-position model. The record is from RNAcentral.
GAUGAACGCUGGCGGCGUGCCUAAUACAUGCAAGUCGAGCGAACGGACGAGAAGCUUGCUUCUCUGAUGUUAGCGGCGGACGGGUGAGUAACACGUGGAUAACCUACCUAUAAGACUGGGAUAACUUCGGGAAACCGGAGCUAAUACCGGAUAAUAUUUUGAACCGCAUGGUUCAAAAGUGAAAGACGGUCUUGCUGCCACUUAUAGAUGGAUCCGCGCUGCAUUAGCUAGUUGGUAAGGUAACGGCUUACCAAGGCAACGAUGCAUAGCCGACCUGAGAGGGUGAUCGGCCACACUGGAACUGAGACACGGUCCAGACCCCUACGGGAGGCAGCAGUAGGGAAUCUUCCGCAAUGGGCGAAAGCCUGACGGAGCAACGCCGCGUGAGUGAUGAAGGUCUUCGGAUCGUAAAACUCUGUUAUUAGGGAAGAACAUAUGUGUAAGUAACUGUGCACAUCUUGACGGUACCUAAUCAGAAAGCCACGGCUAACUACGUG